UUAAAAAGUAAAUCUAUGUUUUUUAUCAAAUCAGUUUUAAUUUGAUUCGUUCCACCCUUCCAUUGAAGAACACUUCCCCUGUUGUGUGAAGAACAUUUCCUCCCUUCCAUUGUUCCUUCAUACUCAAAUUCGUUCCUGCUAAGCUUCGCCGUCGUCAUCGCCGUCGGGAGAAGAAGCAUCUGCUACCCUUUCGCUCGGAACAUAUUUCUUCCUUCCAUCAUUCCUUAACGACUCAUUGAAGUACCGUCACAGUGGGUGGUGGUGUUGUUAUCGCGGCUCUCCCUGCAACCUCUUUACUUCUACAAUUAGUGUUCAAGCAAACUGAAGAAAAGGAAGACUUUGUGGGUUUUCUUUGUGCUUAUGAAUUAGAAAAUUCAGUUUCAGUGGCAGAUGAAAGUCAGGAGUCAAGGAAAAGGAAAAAUUCAUUUGAAGGUGGAAUUCAGAGCCAAACUGUUCGAAAUAAUGUAGUAGUUCUUGAAGGUGAAUCAAAGUUCAAGCAGAAGGGACAAAAAGCACAAAUUGAAAUUAAUUCUAGCAACAAAAAGCCAAAACCUCUCUAUAAUCACUGUAUGAUUUUCACAAGUGCAUGUUAAUAUAUUGAAUUUAGAACAAUAUGUUUGAAAUUUGGUGAGUU
Arachis ipaensis is the source of this 634-nucleotide non-coding RNA. The record is from RefSeq and is a predicted model, not a curated record. NCBI's taxonomy places the organism in Eukaryota, Viridiplantae, Streptophyta, Magnoliopsida, Fabales, Fabaceae.